GCAGGGGUAGCGAAGUGGUCAAACGCGAUAGGCUCAAGAUUAUGACCAUAGGAUACCUAUUCCCUUAGUGGGUUCGUCGGUUCGAAUCCGAUCCCCUGCA
This 100-nucleotide transfer RNA is filed under the name Candidatus Aenigmatarchaeota archaeon. Its description in RNAcentral is "tRNA-Leu". It matches the Rfam family "tRNA". Rfam says of the family: Transfer RNA (tRNA) molecules are approximately 80 nucleotides in length. Lineage: Archaea; Nanobdellati; Candidatus Aenigmatarchaeota. The record is from RNAcentral.